This 541-nucleotide ribosomal RNA is filed under the name Saccharomyces cerevisiae (brewer's yeast). RNAcentral's name for it is "partial large subunit ribosomal RNA". It matches the Rfam family "Eukaryotic large subunit ribosomal RNA", at positions 92 to 648 of the family's 3401-position model. Lineage: Eukaryota; Fungi; Ascomycota; Saccharomycetes; Saccharomycetales; Saccharomycetaceae. The record is from RNAcentral.
AGUGAGCGGCAAAAGCUCAAAUUUGAAAUCUGGUACCUUCGGUGCCCGAGUUGUAAUUUGGAGAGGGCAACUUUGGGGCCGUUCCUUGUCUAUGUUCCUUGGAACAGGACGUCAUAGAGGGUGAGAAUCCCGUGUGGCGAGGAGUGCGGUUCUUUGUAAAGUGCCUUCGAAGAGUCGAGUUGUUUGGGAAUGCAGCUCUAAGUGGGUGGUAAAUUCCAUCUAAAGCUAAAUAUUGGCGAGAGACCGAUAGCGAACAAGUACAGUGAUGGAAAGAUGAAAAGAACUUUGAAAAGAGAGUGAAAAAGUACGUGAAAUUGUUGAAAGGGAAGGGCAUUUGAUCAGACAUGGUGUUUUGUGCCCUCUGCUCCUUGUGGGUAGGGGAAUCUCGCAUUUCACUGGGCCAGCAUCAGUUUUGGUGGCAGGAUAAAUCCAUAGGAAUGUAGCUUGCCUCGGUAAGUAUUAUUGCCUGUGGGAAUACUGCCAGCUGGGACUGAGGACUGCGACGUAAGUCAAGGAUGCUGGCAUAAUGGUUAUAUGCCGC